Molecule: non-coding RNA, 240 nt
Filed under: Clostridium baratii
Lineage: Bacteria; Bacillati; Bacillota; Clostridia; Eubacteriales; Clostridiaceae
Description: T-box sequence
Rfam family: T-box leader
About the family: Uncharged tRNA acts as the effector for transcription antitermination of genes in the T-box leader family. T-boxes are found upstream of many aminoacyl-tRNA synthetase genes and some amino acid biosynthetic genes usually in Gram-positive bacteria. The anticodon of a specific tRNA base pairs to a specifier sequence within the T-box motif, and the NCCA acceptor tail of the tRNA base pairs to a conserved bulge in the T-box antiterminator hairpin.
Source: RNAcentral
UUAAAUGCGUUGAAAAGGGAAAGUAAAUAAUAUAAGUUACUACAGAGAGAGGUUAGUUUGCUGAGAUAACCUAUAAUAAGUAUUAUUGAAGUGCCCCUUGGAGCAGAAAAGCCGAAAUAAAAGUAGGUUUUUAUGGGAACUCCCAUUAUAGAGUUAGGGUAUGUUUGUACCUAAAAAGAGAUGGAUAAUUUAUUAUCUAACCAGAGUGGAACCGUGGAAGUACAACCUUCUGCCUCUGUG